GAUGAAGAACGCAGCGAAAUUCGAUAAGUAAUGUGAAUUGCAGAAUUCAGUGAAUCAUCGAAUCUUUGAACGCACAUUGCGCCCCUUGGUAUUCCGAGGGGCAUGCCUGUUCGAGCGUCAUUAUAACCCCUCAAGCUCAGCUUGGUGUUGGGGCCUGCUGCACUGGCAGCCCUUAAAAUCAGUGGCGGCGCCAUCUGGCUCUAAGCGUAGUAAUUCUUCUCGCUAUGGAGUCCUGGUGGAUGCUUGCCAUCAACCCCCAAUUUUUCUAUGGUUGACCUCGGAUCAGGUAGGGAUACCCGCUGAACUUAAGCAUAUCAAUAAGCGGAGGA
Molecule: unclassified non-coding RNA, 329 nt
Filed under: soil metagenome
Description: partial contains 5.8S ribosomal RNA, internal transcribed spacer 2, and large subunit ribosomal RNA
Rfam family: 5.8S ribosomal RNA (bases 1-120)
Source: RNAcentral